AAAAGCAUGAUGAUGUUUGUUUCUACUAUAUCGCGACGGUCUUCUGACAUUUCUGGAGAGGGUAGAACUUACUGAUUUC
Molecule: small nucleolar RNA, 79 nt
Filed under: Babesia bovis
Lineage: Eukaryota; Apicomplexa; Aconoidasida; Piroplasmida; Babesiidae
Description: small nucleolar RNA snoR20
Rfam family: small nucleolar RNA snoR20
Source: Rfam by way of RNAcentral